CCUGAUGCAGCAACGCCGCGUGAGUGAUGAAGGCCUUCGGGUUGUAAAGCUCUUUCAGUAGGGAAGAACGGCUGAAGGCUGAUCCGCUCGAACGUUGACGGUACCUACACAAGAAGCCCUGGCUAACUAUGUGCCAGCAGCCGCGGUAAU
RNAcentral lists this ribosomal RNA (150 nucleotides) under uncultured bacterium. Its description in RNAcentral is "partial 16S ribosomal RNA". It matches the Rfam family "Bacterial small subunit ribosomal RNA", at positions 382 to 524 of the family's 1533-position model. The record is from RNAcentral.